RNAcentral lists this ribosomal RNA (442 nucleotides) under uncultured bacterium. RNAcentral's name for it is "partial 16S ribosomal RNA". It matches the Rfam family "Bacterial small subunit ribosomal RNA", at positions 338 to 795 of the family's 1533-position model. The record is from RNAcentral.
CCUACGGGAGGCUGCAGUGGGGAAUAUUGGGCAAUGGGCGCAAGCCUGACCCAGCAACGCCGCGUGAAGGAAGAAGGCUUUCGGGUUGUAAACUUCUUUUGUCAGGGAAGAGUAGAAGACGGUACCUGACGAAUAAGCCACGGCUAACUACGUGCCAGCAGCCGCGGUAAUACGUAGGUGGCAAGCGUUGUCCGGAUUUACUGGGUGUAAAGGGCGUGUAGCCGGGUUGACAAGUCAGAUGUGAAAUCCUGCGGCUUAACCGCAGAACUGCAUUUGAAACUGUUGAUCUUGAGUACUGGAGAGGCAGACGGAAUUGCUGGGGUAGCGGUGAAAUGCGUGGAUAUUAGGAGGAACACCAGUGGCGAAGGCGGUCUGCUGGACAGCAACUGACGGGGAGGCGCGAAGGCGUGGGGAGCAAACAGGAUUAGAUACCCUAGUAGUC